This 490-nucleotide ribosomal RNA is filed under the name uncultured bacterium. RNAcentral describes it as "partial 16S ribosomal RNA". It matches the Rfam family "Bacterial small subunit ribosomal RNA", at positions 30 to 507 of the family's 1533-position model. The record is from RNAcentral.
AUUGAACGCUGGCGGCAGGCCUAACACAUGCAAGUCGAACGGUAACAGGGAUCAGCUUGCUGAUUCGCUGACGAGUGGCGGACGGGUGAGUAAUGUCUGGGAAACUGCCUGAUGGAGGGGGAUAACUACUGGAAACGGUAGCUAAUACCGCAUAACGUCGCAAGACCAAAGAGGGGGACCUUCGGGCCUCUUGCCAUCGGAUGUGCCCAGAUGGGAUUUGCUAGUAGGUGGGGUAACGGCUCACCUAGGCGACGAUCCCUAGCUGGUCUGAGAGGAUGACCAGCCACACUGGAACUGAGACACGGUCCAGACUCCUACGGGAGGCAGCAGUGGGGAAUAUUGCACAAUGGGCGCAAGCCUGAUGCAGCCAUGCCGCGUGUAUGAAGAAGGCCUUCGGGUUGUAAAGUACUUUCAGCGGGGAGGAAGGGAGUAAAGUUAAUACCUUUGCUCAUUGACGUUACCCGCAGAAGAAGCACCGGCUAACUCCGUG